Molecule: ribosomal RNA, 245 nt
Filed under: uncultured Veillonellaceae bacterium
Lineage: Bacteria; Bacillati; Bacillota; Negativicutes; Veillonellales; Veillonellaceae
Description: partial 16S ribosomal RNA
Rfam family: Bacterial small subunit ribosomal RNA
Source: RNAcentral
CUAGCCGUAAACGAUGGGUACUAGGUGUAGGUGGUUUCGAUACCAUCUGUGCCGGAGUUAACGCAAUAAGUACCCCGCCUGGGGAGUACGUGCGCAAGCAUGAAACUCAAAGGAAUUGACGGGGGCCCGCACAAGCGGUGGAGCAUGUGGUUUAAUUCGAAGCAACGCGAAGAACCUUACCAGGUCUUGACAUCCCUUGAAAACCUCAGAGAUGAGGCCUCUCUUCGGAGCAAGGAGACAGGUGG